AAAAGACAAAGCCAAUCAAGGUGCACUCAGUGGGUUGAAAGAUGCUUCAGAUUUUUUAUUUUCAAAUAUCACCCUUGUACACAAUACAAAUCGUGUGGCAAGGCAUUAUGUUUGUUUUCCUUGAUUCCGAAUCAUAUAGACGCUUCAAUGCAAAAAUGCCUUGAUUUAAAACGCUUGUUGACUACAGCAUCGGAAAGGUAUGACAAAAAACCAACGCACGUUUACUGCAGCAUCGAAAAGAUAUCACCAAAAACCAACAUAGCAAAAAAAAAUUUGGACAAGAAUGGUCAUUAAAUUUUUUCGAGUCGCGGCGAUUUUAUCCGGGUCGGUCAUGGGAGGGGAAACAAACAAUAUUUUAUGUUUGGCC
This 367-nucleotide long non-coding RNA is filed under the name Mytilus galloprovincialis (Mediterranean mussel). Lineage: Eukaryota; Metazoa; Mollusca; Bivalvia; Mytilida; Mytilidae. The record is from RNAcentral.